UACGAAGGGGGCUAGCGUUGUUCGGAAUAACUGGUCGUAAAGCGCAUGUAGGCGGAUCUUUAAGUCAGAGGUGAAAUCCCAGGGCUCAACCCCGGCAGUGCCUUUGAUACUAGAGAUCUGGAGUCUGGGAGAGGUGAGUGCAAUUCCGAGUGUAGAGGUGAAAUUCGUAGAUAUUCGGAGGAACACCAGUGGCGAAGGCGGCUCACUGGCCCAAGACUGACGCUUAGAUGCUAAAGCGUGGCGAGCAAACAUG
RNAcentral lists this ribosomal RNA (253 nucleotides) under uncultured bacterium. Its description in RNAcentral is "partial 16S ribosomal RNA". It matches the Rfam family "Bacterial small subunit ribosomal RNA", at positions 524 to 776 of the family's 1533-position model. The record is from RNAcentral.